RNAcentral lists this ribosomal RNA (253 nucleotides) under uncultured bacterium. RNAcentral's name for it is "partial 16S ribosomal RNA". It matches the Rfam family "Bacterial small subunit ribosomal RNA", at positions 524 to 776 of the family's 1533-position model. The record is from RNAcentral.
UACGUAGGGGGCAAGCGUUGUCCGGAAUCAUUGGGCGUAAAGCGCGCGUAGGCGGCCAGAUAAGUCCGGUGUGAAAGUCACAGGCUCAACCUGUGAAUGCCGCUGGAAACUGUCUGGCUUGAGUCCGGAAGGGGCGAGUGGAAUUCCUGGUGUAGCGGUGAAAUGCGUAGAUAUGCGGAGGAACACCAGUGGCGAAGGCGACACGCUGGGCCGUACCUGACACUAAAACGCGACAGCAUGGGGAGCGAACGGG